Molecule: small nucleolar RNA, 290 nt
Filed under: Trichophyton rubrum BMU01672
Lineage: Eukaryota; Fungi; Ascomycota; Eurotiomycetes; Onygenales; Arthrodermataceae
Description: HACA-box snoRNA
Source: RNAcentral
GCAUUUCGACGCAAGUACAUUGAAACUAGCAACGAAGUGCUAAAGGGAGCAGGUGAUAUGGCUCUCCGUCAGCUUCCAAUCCAUUUUAUCAAUGGUGUUGAAGCUGCUUUACAAGUUUCUUCGGCCUAAGCUUAGACGAUGUUUUUUAGUUGUAUAAUAGGCGUGUGAAGCAACACACAAGGAUCACACGAAGCAACACACGAAGCAACAUGGAAAUAUGUGUCAUUGCCCUUGACAUAUAAAAUAGAUCCGCAUGACUACAAGCUUCGCUCUCAGGUUUCCCUCAAGUU